ACAGUGUUGGGGUGGUAAUUAAAUCACAUGAUCAGAGUGGGUUAAAAUUGGAACCACGUUCGACUGUACCCUGCUCGGUUCCUCGGGAUAGCCAUAUGAUGCUUGAGUCCCUGAACUUCAAUCAUUGCCAGAGCUCAAAACAUAGCAUCGAUUCAUUUUCACAAUAUUCCUAAUGCCGCUCUCGAUCUUCUUACCACUCUGAACAAAGGAUGAUGGAUUAGUUAGGUCAGGUUUGAAGGUUAGGUAUGAGGAUUAGAUUUGAGGUUUGAUUCAAGAGCUCGGGUAGGAGAAAACACACAUU
RNAcentral lists this small RNA (301 nucleotides) under Histoplasma capsulatum var. duboisii H88. RNAcentral's name for it is "Histoplasma capsulatum H88 hypothetical RNA". Lineage: Eukaryota; Fungi; Ascomycota; Eurotiomycetes; Onygenales; Ajellomycetaceae. The record is from RNAcentral.